AAAUAAUCUUGCCCAUUAAAUACUCAUGAUUCUUAGUUUUUUUUUUUCCGAAUAAUUAAAUUGAACCCAUCUAUGUGGUAAUUUGAUCAAUAUAAUUAGGCUAAUUACUGAAAGCAUUAAAUUUUAGCGUUCUCUUAAACACAAAAUUUCAUCUUUUUCGUAUUAAUAGAUUGUGAAAUUCAUAAUUUUAUAUAAAAAAAAGUAUAUGAUUUACGAGUACAUAAUUAUUUCUCAAUUCAUUAAACACAAAAAAUCUAUUAAAACUUUGAAGGGAAGAUUGAUAUGUGAGCCUCAACUCAAGACUGAAACUAACAGUCUUCCAUUACAGUAUCUGAUUGGUAGAUGGUUGACUUGUUGUCCAAUUGCAAAGUAGGUUGGUUGACCAUUUAUUAUUUCCAUUUUAAUUUUAUGUACUUUUUGCUUAAAUAAUACGUGUACAUAUACAAGUACACUUACCCGUAUUCCCCCUUAACUAUUCAAGGAACUAGUACUCCAACCAUAAAAAUCAGAAUUAUAUUAAAAAAAUUUAUAGAAAUAUUAAUAAAUCACUGAAUAUAUUUGGAUAAUUAAUUGAAUUCUAGAAAAAAUAAUGAAUAUAUUUUCUUUCCAUAAUAUCCUAUAUUUUGUUAAAAGACU
RNAcentral lists this unclassified non-coding RNA (636 nucleotides) under Hevea brasiliensis (rubber tree). The record is from RNAcentral. Lineage: Eukaryota; Viridiplantae; Streptophyta; Magnoliopsida; Malpighiales; Euphorbiaceae.